Molecule: ribosomal RNA, 1096 nt
Filed under: uncultured Bacillota bacterium
Lineage: Bacteria; Bacillati; Bacillota
Description: bacterial SSU rRNA
Source: RNAcentral
GGGCCGCSGAUUCGCCCUUGAGUUUGAUCAUGGCUCAGGACGAACGCUGGCGGCACGCCUAACACAUGCAAGUCGAACGGAGAUAUUUUGGUUUACUGAGAUAUCUUAGUGGCGGACGGGUGAGUAACACGUGAGCAACCUGCCUCUGAGAGAGGGAUAGCUUCUGGAAACGGAUGGUAAUACCUCAUAACAUAACGAAGCCGCAUGACUUUGUUAUCAAAGAUUUAUCACUCAGAGAUGGGCUCGCGUCUGAUUAGAUAGUUGGUGAGGUAACGGCUCACCAAGUCGACGAUCAGUAGCCGGACUGAGAGGUUGAACGGCCACAUUGGGACUGAGACACGGCCCAGACUCCUACGGGAGGCAGCAGUGGGGAAUAUUGCACAAUGGGGGAAACCCUGAUGCAGCGAUGCCGCGUGGAGGAAGAAGGUUUUCGGAUUGUAAACUCCUGUCUUAAAGGACGAUAAUGACGGUACUUUAGGAGGAAGCUCCGGCUAACUACGUGCCAGCAGCCGCGGUAAUACGUAGGGAGCGAGCGUUGUCCGGAAUUACUGGGUGUAAAGGGAGCGUAGGCGGGAUGGCAAGUCAGAUGUGAAAACUAUGGGCUCAACCCAUAGACUGCAUUUGAAACUGUUGUUCUUGAGUGAAGUAGAGGUAAGCGGAAUUCCUGGUGUAGCGGUGAAAUGCGUAGAUAUCAGGAGGAACAUCGGUGGCGAAGGCGGCUUACUGGGCUUUUACUGACGCUGAGGCUCGAAAGCGUGGGGGAGCAAACAGGAUUAGAUACCCUGGUAGUCCACGCUGUAAACGAUGAUUACUAGGUGUGGGGGGACUGACCCCUUUCCGUGCCGCAGUUAACACGAUAAGUAAUCCACCUGGGGAGUACGGCCGCAAGGUUGAAACUCAAAGAAUUGACGGGGGCCCGCACAAGCAGUGAKUAUGUGGUUUWAUUCGAAGCAACGCGAAGAACCUUACAGGUCUUGACAUCGUAUGCAUACCAUAGAGAUWUGGGAAAUCCCUUCGGGACWWUAGACAGGUGUGCAUGUAGGGCGAAUCGUUAACCUGCAGGAYUAGUCCUURUGAGGGUUAUCUGARCUUGGCG